This 298-nucleotide ribosomal RNA is filed under the name Xenorhabdus sp. Pak.P.B.38. Its description in RNAcentral is "partial 16S ribosomal RNA". It matches the Rfam family "Bacterial small subunit ribosomal RNA", at positions 468 to 765 of the family's 1533-position model. Lineage: Bacteria; Pseudomonadati; Pseudomonadota; Gammaproteobacteria; Enterobacterales; Morganellaceae. The record is from RNAcentral.
CUUGACGUUACCCGCAGAAGAAGCACCGGCUAACUCCGUGCCAGCAGCCGCGGUAAUACGGAGGGUGCAAGCGUUAAUCGGAAUUACUGGGCGUAAAGCGCACGCAGGCGGUCCAUUAAGUUGGAUGUGAAAUCCCCGGGCUUAACCCGGGAACGGCAUCCAAGACUGGUGGGCUAGAGUCUCGUAGAGGGGGGUAGAAUUCCACGUGUAGCGGUGAAAUGCGUAGAGAUGUGGAGGAAUACCGGUGGCGAAGGCGGCCCCCUGGACGAAGACUGACGCUCAGGUGCGAAAGCGUGGG